GACGAACGCUGGCGGCGUGCCUAAUACAUGCAAGUUGAGCGCUGAAGGUUGGUACUUGUACCAACUGGAUGAGCAGCGAACGGGUGAGUAACGCGUGGGGAAUCUGCCUUUGAGCGGGGGACAACAUUUGGAAACGAAUGCUAAUACCGCAUAAAAACUUUAAACACAAGUUUUAAGUUUGAAAGAUGCAAUUGCAUCACUCAAAGAUGAUCCCGCGUUCUAUUAGCUAGUUGGUGAGGUAAAGGCUCACCAAGGCGGUGGUACAUAGCCGACCUGAGAGGGUGAUCCGCCCCAAUGGGACUGCGAAAAGGCUCAAAAUUCUAAGGGAGGCCGCAAGAGGGAAUUUGCGGACAUGGGCGAAAAUCUUACCGAGCAAAGCCGGGUGAGUGAAGAAGGUUUUCGGAUCGGAAAACUCUGUUGGUAGAGAAGAACGUUGGUGAGAGUGAAAAGCUCAUCAAGUGACGGUAACGACCCAGAAAGGGACGGCUAACUACGUG
This 497-nucleotide ribosomal RNA is filed under the name uncultured bacterium. RNAcentral's name for it is "partial 16S ribosomal RNA". It matches the Rfam family "Bacterial small subunit ribosomal RNA", at positions 28 to 507 of the family's 1533-position model. The record is from RNAcentral.